Molecule: ribosomal RNA, 406 nt
Filed under: uncultured bacterium
Lineage: Bacteria
Description: partial 16S ribosomal RNA
Rfam family: Bacterial small subunit ribosomal RNA
Source: RNAcentral
AUUGAACGCUGGCGGCAGGCCUAACACAUGCAAGUCGAGCGGAGCGGCGGACGGGUGAGUAAUGCCUAGGAAUCUGCCUGGUAGUGGGGGAUAACGUCCGGAAACGGGCGCUAAUACCGCAUACUAUCAGAUGAGCCUAGGUCGGAUUAGCUAGUUGGUGGGGUAAAGGCCUACCAAGGCGACGAUCCGUAACUGGUCUGAGAGGAUGAUCAGUCACACUGGAACUGAGACACGGUCCAGACUCCUACGGGAGGCAGCAGUGGGGAAUAUUGGACAAGGGGCGAAAGCCUGAUCCAGCCAUGCCGGGUGUGUGAAGAAGGUCUUCGGAUUGUAAAGCACUUUUGGCAGGAAAGCGGUACCUGCAGAAUAAGCACCGGCUAACUACGUGCCAGCAGCCGCGGUAAUA